GGCCCCGGGAGCCGGAGCAGCCCCUCCGCGGCGCCCUCCCCGCGCCCUCCCCGCGCCCUCCCCGCGCGCCUACCUCUCGGACUUGGCGAACUUGCGGAACGCCUGUCGGAGGUCGUGGAAGGAGCGAUGACGCAGCGCUUGUAACUGGAGCCUAAAGACUUGGUGGGGUGUGUGCGCGCGAGGCGCGGGGUGAGCUGUUCCCUGAACGCGAGGCUGCCUGGGGCCGGUGCAACCUGCAGACCUGCAGACCUCGGCCGCUGCUUGCACUUCUGACCUCCCCUCCGCCCUGGAUGAGCAUGAAAUUUUACUGGAGACAGUGAACCGCCGCUGGGAAAGUUGAAUGAAUAUAUGAAUAUGCAGGUGGUGAUGAGCCAAAAGUUUUUAUUUUUUUUGGGGGGGGGGAUUCUGUUGUAAACUUGUCAGAACCCCGAUUUCAUCUGCUGCGGUUAAAAUGUGCAUACUGAGCAACCGGAUUAUCUCACGACCUGGCCUGACCUCAGAGGGCCGGGGCUCGCCCUCCAGGGGGAAACUGCACGGAAUCGGUGUCUUCCCCUCACCUGUGCAUCUACCCCCUCGUGCUAAAGGGAUUGUUCCACUUGUGUGAGCAGGAGGACUGGCGAAUGCCUCCGGUUUCUUUUUCUUAUCUGUCGUGUGUGCCACAAAGAGCACGUUUCAUCACAUAAAUCAUUUAUCUGUGACCGUGGGAGGAGCCUGUCUCCAGGUAAUGAUCAACACGUUAGUAAAUCUUUUUUUAAAGGAAAGAAACUAGCCGCAGACAAAGAUACCGAAGGACUUUUUCUGAAAUAGUGACUUCAGUUAAGAAAGAUCACUAUAUAAUCACUGGCUACUUAUUAGAAAAAAAAAGAAAGAAAGAAAAAAAAGAAAUCAUCUUUCUACCUUGUCUGAAACACCUAAGGAAAAGCAGGCGCAGCCUUCAGUUUAUGAAUAAAUCAUUAAAUAUAUUUUGUUCUGGA
Long non-coding RNA from Canis lupus familiaris (dog), 974 nucleotides. RefSeq lists it as uncharacterized. The transcript is spliced from 3 exons. The record is from RefSeq and is a predicted model, not a curated record. Lineage: Eukaryota; Metazoa; Chordata; Mammalia; Carnivora; Canidae.